UGGCCCGUUUGCAAUCUGUUCUCGGUAACUGGGCUAAGUUUUUUUUUUCUUUAUUAGAGUUAUAACUGAGCUAUACGUUUAUUUCUGAACCUAUUUUACAAGUUGUAUGUCGAAAAUAUCCCCACAAUUUGUUUUAUUCCCUUAAAAAUUAUAUCCAAAAUAACUGUAUAAAGUAGAGAGCAUAUCAGGUCAAACAUCUAUUCGGUCAAAACUUGAAAACUUUUAAUUCUAGCUAUAAAUGUCAAAUGAACGGACCAGAUGAUGAAAGGUGGAACAUCUAAUCACCUAAACGCAUUGUAUGAAAACUCUAGACCAGAUGAAAGUUGC
This 327-nucleotide long non-coding RNA is filed under the name Brachypodium distachyon (stiff brome). Its description in RNAcentral is "long non-coding RNA (BDIS_LNC005758)". Lineage: Eukaryota; Viridiplantae; Streptophyta; Magnoliopsida; Poales; Poaceae. The record is from RNAcentral.